Molecule: ribosomal RNA, 183 nt
Filed under: Bacillus pumilus
Lineage: Bacteria; Bacillati; Bacillota; Bacilli; Caryophanales; Bacillaceae
Description: partial 16S ribosomal RNA
Rfam family: Bacterial small subunit ribosomal RNA
Source: RNAcentral
AUGCCGCGGUGAAUACGUUCCCGGGCCUUGUACACACCGCCCGUCACACCACGAGAGUUUGCAACACCCGAAGUCGGUGAGGUAACCUUUAUGGAGCCAGCCGCCGAAGGUGGGGCAGAUGAUUGGGGUGAAGUCGUAACAAGGUAGCCGUAUCGGAAGGUGCGGCUGGAUCACCUCCUUUCU